This 492-nucleotide ribosomal RNA is filed under the name uncultured bacterium. Its description in RNAcentral is "partial 16S ribosomal RNA". It matches the Rfam family "Bacterial small subunit ribosomal RNA", at positions 29 to 507 of the family's 1533-position model. The record is from RNAcentral.
AGUGAACGCUGGCGGUAGGCCUAACACAUGCAAGUCGAACGGCAGCACAGUAAGAGCUUGCUCUUACGGGUGGCGAGUGGCGGACGGGUGAGGAAUACAUCGGAAUCUACUCUUUCGGGGGGGAUAACGUAGGUAAACUUACGCUAAUAUCGCAUACGAUCUACGGGUGAAAGCAGGGGAUCUUCUGACCUUGCGCGAUUGAAUGCGCCGAUGUCGGAUUAGCUAGUUGGCGGGGUAAAGGCCCAGCAAGGCGACGAUCCGUAGCUGGUCUGAGAGGAUGAUCAGCCACACUGGAACUGCGACACGGUCCAGACUCCUACGGGAGGCAGCAGAGGGGAAUAUUGGACAAUGGGCGCAAGCCUGAUCCAGCCAGACCGCGUGGGUGAAGAAGGCCUUCGGGUUGUAAAGCCCUUUUGUUGGGAAAGAAAAGCAGCAGGUUAAUACCCCGCUGUUCUGACGGUACCCAAAGAAUAAGCACCGGCUAACUUCGUG